Molecule: ribosomal RNA, 527 nt
Filed under: Bifidobacterium adolescentis
Lineage: Bacteria; Bacillati; Actinomycetota; Actinomycetes; Bifidobacteriales; Bifidobacteriaceae
Description: partial 16S ribosomal RNA
Rfam family: Bacterial small subunit ribosomal RNA
Source: RNAcentral
AUGCCGGAUGCUCCAGUUGACCGCAUGGUCCUCUGGGAAAGCUUCAGCGGUAUGGGAUGGGGUCGCGUCCUAUCAGCUUGAUGGCGGGGUAACGGCCCACCAUGGCUUCGACGGGUAGCCGGCCUGAGAGGGCGACCGGCCACAUUGGGACUGAGAUACGGCCCAGACUCCUACGGGAGGCAGCAGUGGGGAAUAUUGCACAAUGGGCGCAAGCCUGAUGCAGCGACGCCGCGUGCGGGAUGACGGCCUUCGGGUUGUAAACCGCUUUUGACUGGGAGCAAGCCCUUCGGGGUGAGUGUACCUUUCGAAUAAGCACCGGCUAACUACGUGCCAGCAGCCGCGGUAAUACGUAGGGUGCAAGCGUUAUCCGGAAUUAUUGGGCGUAAAGGGCUCGUAGGCGGUUCGUCGCGUCCGGUGUGAAAGUCCAUCGCUUAACGGUGGAUCCGCGCCGGGUACGGGCGGGCUUGAGUGCGGUAGGGGAGACUGGAAUUCCCGGUGUAACGGUGGAAUGUGUAGAUAUCGAAAAA